Molecule: long non-coding RNA, 391 nt
Organism: Sinocyclocheilus anshuiensis
Lineage: Eukaryota; Metazoa; Chordata; Actinopteri; Cypriniformes; Cyprinidae
Exons: 3
Source: RefSeq, a predicted model, not a curated record
GCAUGCGUUCACAUCCACAGCACAUUCAUCAUGCUGCAAUGAGAGCAGUGUGUUCUCAUUAGAGCCGCCGCUGAAGCUACACACCAAAGCAAACAAGACUUCCUCAGUCCUUAAAAACUUGCCAACUUAUCUCUGGCAAAUUUCAACGCUCUGAAAAGGUGCCUGCAAGAAUUACCGUCGCCUGAAAUGCAAUUCUCAGCCACAGCUGGCCAAGACAAACCGGCUUGAAAGGAAACCGGCUGGGAAAUACUCCACCGCAACACUGCUUUCCAGCCUUCAUAAAAGAGUGCAGAUCAAAUUUACAUAAGAAGAUUGGUUUGAAGAUUGGAGCUCACGGAACAAGGGGAAGAAGAGAAAUUUAAAUGAGGAAGCCUGAUUUGAAGAUCUUUCU